CUGGAAUGAAGCAGCAGCAGCAAGUGCUGCUGAUGCUCGUG
Molecule: non-coding RNA, 41 nt
Filed under: uncultured Geminigera
Lineage: Eukaryota; Cryptophyceae; Pyrenomonadales; Geminigeraceae
Source: RNAcentral